This 774-nucleotide ribosomal RNA is filed under the name uncultured bacterium. Its description in RNAcentral is "bacterial SSU rRNA". It matches the Rfam family "Bacterial small subunit ribosomal RNA", at positions 51 to 819 of the family's 1533-position model. The record is from RNAcentral.
ACACAUGCAAGUCGAGGGGCAGCGGGGAGUAGCAAUACUCCGCCGGCGACCGGCGCACGGGUGAGUAACACGUGUGCAACCAACCCCGUACCGGGAGAUAGCCCGCGGAAACGUGGACUAAUACCCCACGACAGCUUUUCCCCGCAUGGGGGAAGGCUUAAAACCCCGGUGGUACGGGACGGGCACGCGCGACAUUAGGUAGUUGGCGGGGUAACGGCCCACCAAGCCGACGAUGUCUAGGGGUUCUGAGAGGAAGGUCCCCCACACUGGAACUGAGACACGGUCCAGACUCCUACGGGAGGCAGCAGUGAGGAAUAUUGGUCAAUGGUCGAGAGACUGAACCAGCCAAGUCGCGUGAGGGAAGAAUGGUCUAUGGCCUGUAAACCUCUUUUGUCAAGGAAGAAUAAGUGUCACGCGUGGCAUGAUGCCAGUACUUGACGAAUAAGCAUCGGCUAACUCCGUGCCAGCAGCCGCGGUAACACGGGGGAUGCGAGCGUUAUCCGGAUUUAUUGGGUUUAAAGGGCGCGUAGGCGGGACGACAAGUCAGCGGUAAAAGACUGCAGCUAAACUGUAGCACGCCGUUGAAACUGUUGACCUUGAGACGAGACGAGGGAGGCGGAACAAGUGAAGUAGCGGUGAAAUGCAUAGAUAUCACUUGGAACCCCGAUAGCGAAGGCAGCUUCCCAGGCUCGAUCUGACGCUGAUGCGCGAGAGCGUGGGUAGCGAACAGGAUUAGAUACCCUGGUAGUCCACGCCGUAAACGAUGCUCACUGG